Molecule: transfer RNA, 68 nt
Filed under: bovine gut metagenome
Rfam family: tRNA
About the family: Transfer RNA (tRNA) molecules are approximately 80 nucleotides in length. Their secondary structure includes four short double-helical elements and three loops (D, anti-codon, and T loops).
Source: RNAcentral
AGAUUUAGUUCAGUUGGUUAGAACGCCAGAUUGUGGAUCUGGAGGCCGUCGGUUCAAGUCCGACAUUC